Molecule: ribosomal RNA, 245 nt
Filed under: uncultured bacterium
Lineage: Bacteria
Description: partial 16S ribosomal RNA
Rfam family: Bacterial small subunit ribosomal RNA
Source: RNAcentral
UACGGAGGGUGCAAGCGUUAAUCGGAAUUACUGGGCGUAAAGCGCACGCAGGCGGUUUGUUAAGUCAGAUGUGAAAUCCCCGGGCUCAACCUGGGAACUGCAUUUGAAACUGGCAAGCUUGAGUCUCGUAGAGGGGGGUAGAAUUCCAGGUGUAGCGGUGAAAUGCGUAGAGAUCUGGAGGAAUACCGGUGGCGAAGGCGGCCCCCUGGACGAAGACUGACGCUCAGGUGCGAAAGCGUGGGGAG